Molecule: ribosomal RNA, 254 nt
Filed under: uncultured bacterium
Lineage: Bacteria
Description: partial 16S ribosomal RNA
Rfam family: Bacterial small subunit ribosomal RNA
Source: RNAcentral
UACGUAGGGGGCGAGCGUUGUCCGGAAUUAUUGGGCGUAAAGAGCUCGUAGGCGGUUCGGCAAGUCACGUGUGAAAUCUCCACGCUCAACGUGGAGUCGCCACGUGAGACUGCCGUGACUCGAGUCCGGUAGGGGAGCGUGGAAUUCCCGGUGUAGCGGUGAAAUGCGCAGAGAUCGGGAGGAACACCCGUAGCGAAGGCGGCGCUCUGGGCCGGUACUGACGCUGAGGUGCGAAAGCGUGGGGAGCAAACAGG